Molecule: long non-coding RNA, 461 nt
Organism: Catharus ustulatus (Swainson's thrush)
Lineage: Eukaryota; Metazoa; Chordata; Aves; Passeriformes; Turdidae
Exons: 3
Source: RefSeq, a predicted model, not a curated record
GUGCCCUGAGGCUCCGGGCAUUCUUGGGAGAUGCUGACUAAGAGACAACAGCCCAGUGAUGGCAGGAGUUUCCCAGAGAGUGGAACAGCUCUUCUCACCUGAUGUGGAUUCUAAUACCUCGAUCUCUGACAGAUAAGUGCAGGGGUUCAACCCACAGUGGGGAUGGGAAUGAGUCUCUGGGUCUGGAAUUGUCAGGGGGGAUUUUGGGAGUGCCGGGGAUUGGUGGGGAUCUCUGUGGGGUGAUUGCUGGGCAGGCGGGGUCUCUGUGAGGGCCCCUCUGAGACCCCUCCUCAAAUUCCCCAUUGUCUCUCCCCAGCACCUGUGGGACGCUGCACUCGGUGGAUCAGUACCUGAACAUCAAACUGAUGGACAUCAGCGUCAUGGACCCCAAGAAUACCCGCACAUGGUGCGGGGUGGGGGGCUCAGGGGGGUUUGGAGGUUCUCAGAGGGUUUCAGUGAGU